This 426-nucleotide ribosomal RNA is filed under the name uncultured bacterium. Its description in RNAcentral is "bacterial SSU rRNA". It matches the Rfam family "Bacterial small subunit ribosomal RNA", at positions 354 to 796 of the family's 1533-position model. The record is from RNAcentral.
GUGAGGAAUUUUCCGCAAUGGGCGAAAGCCUGACGGAGCAAUGCCGCGUGAAGGAUGAAGGCCUAUGGGUUGUAAACUUCUUUUCUCAGUAAAGAAUUAUGACGGUAUCUGAGGAAUAAGCAUCGGCUAACUCUGUGCCAGCAGCCGCGGUAAGACAGAGGAUGCAAGCGUUAUCCGGAAUGAUUGGGCGUAAAGCGUCUGUAGGUUGUUUAAAAAGUAUUCUGUCAAAGAUUAGGGCUUAACCCUAGAUAGGCAGAAUAAACUUUUAAGCUAGAGUUUGGUAGAGGCAGAGGGAAUUCCCGGUGGAGCGGUGAAAUGCGUAGAUAUCGGGAGGAACACCAAAGGCGAAGGCACUCUGCUGGGCCAAUACUAACACUGAGAGACGAAAGCGAGGGGAGCAAAUGGGAUUAGAUACCCGAGUAGUCC